Molecule: ribosomal RNA, 499 nt
Filed under: uncultured bacterium
Lineage: Bacteria
Description: partial 16S ribosomal RNA
Rfam family: Bacterial small subunit ribosomal RNA
Source: RNAcentral
GAUGAACGCUGGCGGCGUGCCUAAUACAUGCAAGUCGAGCGAACAGACGAGAGUGCUUGCACUCUCUGACGUUAGCGGCGGACGGGUGAGUAACACGUGGGUAACCUACCUAUAAGACUGGGAUAACUUCGGGAAACCGGAGCUAAUACCGGAUAAUAUUUAGCUUCGCAUGAAGCAAUAGUGAAAGACGGUUCUGCUGUCACUUAUAGAUGGACCCGCGGUGUAUUAGCUAGUUGGUGAGGUAACGGCUCACCAAGGCAACGAUACAUAGCCGACCUGAGAGGGUGAUCGGCCACACUGGGACUGAGACACGGCCCAGACUCCUACGGGAGGCAGCAGUAGGGAAUCUUCCGCAAUGGACGAAAGUCUGACGGAGCAAUGCCGCGUGAGUGAAGAAGGUUUUCGGAUCGUAAAACUCUGUUGUAAGGGAAGGACAAGUACGUUAGUAACUGAACGUACCUUGACGGUACCUUACCAGAAAGCCACGGCUAACUACGUG